Ursus americanus (American black bear) is the source of this 177-nucleotide unclassified non-coding RNA. Lineage: Eukaryota; Metazoa; Chordata; Mammalia; Carnivora; Ursidae. The record is from Ensembl.
UUGACAGCAUUGGAAAGAGAUGGCUUCUCUUUCUCCCAAGAACAGACGCAGCCCGAUAAACAGAAGUGUAGGAUUUCCCCAACUGCUUCACCAGUAUGCCUUCGCCCUGACAAAAUCAUGGCUGCGAGAGAGAAAGGACAAGUCCCCUUUCCCAGCCAGUUCUCUGCUGACACUGCU